CUCCUUCGAGUCGGACAGCCAGUGACUAGGGUGGGGACCAGUCGGUAGGCCUGUCCCCCGUUUGCCCCCGGCCCGUCCGCCUCCUACUUUGUCGGCCCGUUCCCGGAGCUUGGAGUCUCGGCUCGGUGUGAGCUUCCUCGACAGUCCUGGACCCAGCACCCCUGAGCCUUGGCCGGCUGGGGUUCCUGGGGAUGGGAUUUGAUUACUGCCACAAAUCACAUUGCCAGGGAUUUCCAACUGACCACUGGCCCUGCUGCUGGAGCUGCUAGGUCCACUCCUAGCGUGUGCGCGUGGGUGCAUAUUUGUGGGGCGAUGGAGCCCAAAGGAGUGGGCCCCCCGGCCCAGCCUGGCCUGAGGAGCAGGACUUAGCUGCCUUGUGAACAGAGUCAGCAUUCUAUUGUGUUCACAGUGGCUAAGUUCCGCCCCCCUUGCCCCCCUACCCUUGGCCACCUUGCUCUUCAUCCAGUCUGUCUCACUGGGCUCUGCCUCCUGUGCCUACUGAGCUGAAACACAGUUGCUUUGGAUAAACUGGCUCAGUUCAGCAGGAACAGGAGUCUGGCCCUCUCCUAGAGACUGCCCUAUGAGCUGAGAGCGUGGGAGGCUGGAAGGGCCCCCAGGGCCCUUGGUGAGAUGGAGGGGCUGCCUCCAACUACUGCCAGCGGUGCUGACUUUCUAGCUUUAUGUCUCCAGUGUCCAAAGGGAUCUGAGGACUGCCUUGGCAGCUUCAUGGCCUUGCAGUGAGAGCCCAGGGACCAGAAGACUUUUGGCUAGAGCUAAAGGGAUGCAGAGACCUACUGAACCUAAUGUAUGAUGUACAUUCUGUGCACAAUUUCAGCAAGCUCAAAUUAUGUCUUCCUAAUUCCAACUCUCCCAAUUUAGACGAGAGACACUUAUCCUGGCCUUUCCCCUAAGCCACAAGGAAUAGCAAAGGGACACUUCCUGCCUUAGUGUCUUCCUUUCCACCCCAAACCCUAGGCCUAGUACCCAUCCUUGUUUCCCUGCUUGGGGUUGGCAAGUUACUCAAGAUGAAAUGACUCCAGACCCCUGCCCCAAGACCAUUACGUGCCAACCUUGGGCUUCCAGAGUGAGGCUGUCCUAACCCAAAUGGCCCUCCAGUUUCAUGGACUCUGUGGAGUCUCCCCCAGAGCAGAAGUCCUGUAUGAGGCUGGAGAUCAGGGGCCCAUUACUUUCUUCUCCUCUUAGAGUAUCUGCUGAUGAGGCCCAGUGCUUCUCUCCUGAACCCUCCCCUCCCAAGGCAUCCCCACCAGCUUUGCCCUCUAGGGAAAGGGGAAGGUACAGACUGUGCUCCUGGGGGUAAAGGAAGAGUGUUUACAAAAGCUUCUCUCUUUACGUUACUCCCAAGCUCAAAGAGCUACAGCCCCAUGGAGGCUGGGAUUGAUUCCUGCAGCCCCAACUGCUGUAUUGUCCCUGCCACUUCCUAUGGAGGAUGUAUUUCUGACUCUCUACUAUCUCCAUCCUUGAAGUGCAUGUGUCAUAGUAGCUGAAGUACCUUCCUCUACUCUGGGUGUGUAUAUGGGACAAAGGCAGGAAGGAGCCUGGGCCAUUCUUCUCCAGCAAGUGGCUCCUGUUCUAAGAGAUGGGCUAUUCUACCUCUAUAUAAAUUAGGAUUUAGACCAUAAUUACUGGACUAGGGAGUCUGGGAUGCCAGCUGAGCCUCCUGAGUGAGCCAUAAUUCCCAUCCAAGGAUACAGGAGGGGCUAAAAAUCUAGGAGGGAAAUUGAGGAAUGAAUGAACCUUCGGUUACUUUAGGGCUCAACAACUAACAUACAGACACACAGGCAGGAAAGGGGAAUGAUGUAUCUCUGCUCUAAACCCAAGGUCCAAUUAAAGUUUACUCAAGCUCA
Vombatus ursinus (common wombat) is the source of this 1865-nucleotide long non-coding RNA. RefSeq lists it as uncharacterized. Lineage: Eukaryota; Metazoa; Chordata; Mammalia; Diprotodontia; Vombatidae. The transcript has 2 exons. The record is from RefSeq and is a predicted model, not a curated record.